RNAcentral lists this ribosomal RNA (1116 nucleotides) under Triticum aestivum (bread wheat). RNAcentral's name for it is "partial small subunit ribosomal RNA". The record is from RNAcentral. Lineage: Eukaryota; Viridiplantae; Streptophyta; Magnoliopsida; Poales; Poaceae.
AUGAACCAUGAUCUCCUCCCUGCACUAGGCAUGUUAAUUAUUGAGAGGCUUGCUACCUUUGAUCUUGAGAACUGGAUGGAAAUCAACGGAGCAACAUGCCUCAUCUCAAAGAUCAUAGAGUUUGCAAGCUGCAGAACCAAAAUGAUAAAUAUCAGUGAGACAGACCAAACAAUGCUAAAAGGUUCAUCAUUGAAGGUGCUGAGAAGACUUACAAGCACUAAAGGGAGGUUUGGUGUAGCUCUGCGACAGAAGAUUUCAGAACAUCCUUUCCUGUUGAGUAACAUUGCUGAAAUUUUGGAUGAAAGCAAGAGCAGCCGUGAAGAUAGGGAGGUCACAGCAGAGAUCAUUAGAAAUCUUGCCAUGAGUGGAAAUACAAGCGCAGAGAUUGGGCACAUCCGAUUGAUCAUUAGCAGAUUGAUGUAUGCCUUACUCAGACAAGAUGCACCAUCGAGUGGGGAUACAGGGCACCUGCUACCAAUGAUCGCUGGGCAAGCAUUGGCAGUGCUGGCAAUGGAGAGUUCCAACAAUUGUUUGGUUAUGUUAGCGGAGCCAGGGCAUGUAUUCAUCAGAGAACUCACAAUUAUGAUCCAUAGUGAGAGCCAGUACAGGUACGCAGCAGCAAGCCUGUUGCGAGAUAUGUGCGUGCAAGCUCGGCCUGUUCUGAGUAACUCAGACCUGAAGAAUAUCUCUUACAUCCUGCGAGAGGUGUUGGAAGGAAUAAUGGAUGCAGAAGGAGCAGAGCUAGAGAUCCUUCUUGGCCUUAGUUCACAAGUAUGUAAUGUUGUUCCGGAAGACUUUGCCCGAGAACUAGAUUGUGGUGAGAUUAAGAAAAGAUUUAUAAAGAGGCUUGUCGAUGUGCUUAACUCAAAUAUGGUACCCACUGCUCAUUGUCCUGGAAUCAGGAGGGCAGUAGUUCAACAUGCAGUAUACAUGAUGGAGAACAAGCCUAGCUACGCAAACUAUUUCAACAGAUGCUGGAUGAUGGAAGCACUGGUAAUGGUAGAAUGCACACCUUCAAAGGCUGAAAAUUACAGACUCUUCUGGGGUGAUGCAGGACUCAUGGAGCACAGCAUACCUCUCUCUGCUCUCCUGGCCAGAGCGAAAAGAUGUCUAUGA